This is a long non-coding RNA of Brienomyrus brachyistius, 562 nucleotides long. RefSeq lists it as uncharacterized. The record is from RefSeq and is a predicted model, not a curated record. Lineage: Eukaryota; Metazoa; Chordata; Actinopteri; Osteoglossiformes; Mormyridae. The transcript has 3 exons.
GGCUGGUGCAGGGGGCUGGAGCAGCAAGAUGUGGGAAGAGAACUUCAACAGUAGUAGCUAACAUGCUGGCCAGCUUCAUGACAAGACACAAGUUUGCAAAAGCAAGGAGCAAAACCAAAAGCUCCUCCUAUCCUUUCAUGUGAUGAAAAGCAACUAAGGAGUCUUCUUCUGUCUCUAUGGUAUUUAAAAUCCAAAGGGACUAAGAGAGCAGGAGGCCUCUCUGCUAUGGAUAUUCCUGACUGCACUUCAGAGCUGGCCAGCAGAACGGAGCUCAGACCCUGUUCACCCGGCCGCUUCUGCCCACCUCGGACGUACUCACACCAGAAGCUUCCCAUUCUCCAUGGACAAGGAGGAUUUCUCUCAGUCUGUCUGACUUUUGUAUGAAACCUGUUCCAGCCUUUGUGGUAUUAGCAUUGCUGAUGAGGAGGACCGAAUCUAUUAAACUGUAACAAACUCCACGGAAACAGGGUGUGAGUCUUGCUUUCAAUAUUUAAUUAUGAAUUUUAAAACCCAUAAUUAACUUUUCCUUAAUUAAAUAUUGUAAAAUUAUAUACAUAGAAUU